UCCUCCCCCCACCUUCACAAAUUCAGGGAGGGCCUGCCCUUCAAAGGGGAAUCAAAGGGGAAAGACACAGGUGGGCACCUGACUAAGGUGCCAGGCCUGGCAGACCCAGGGAACGGCCAAAGGCCAAAACCCCCGAUGGACUGGGCUUCAGCACAACCCCUUGGCAGCAGGGCAGGGCCUUCUAGCCUGCCCGGGAGGAAACGGCCCUUUUAAGAUGCUCCUGCCCCUCAGCCCCCUCCCCAUCCCCCGGUUCCCUUCUGGCGGCAGAGCCAAGGUCUGACUUCUUUGUCUGGCGUUCAAGGCCAAGCCUGCCUCUGCCUCUGCCUGGAACACGGAGCUUCGGUUCCGUUCUCUCCGCCGGGAAGCCCUCUGGGACUGAGCGAAAGUUGGGGAGCGGUGCCUUCCGCACCCUGGAGAAAACGGGCACGCAGGAACAUCGAAGCUGGUGCUGGGGAGGACACUGACCAGGGACCAAAUGGACUGCCCCGGGCGGGCUGGACUAACUUAAACGGGCUCUCCGAAUCAAAGGGCAUCUUCGCCCAGGAAGUCCUGCCUGGAAAUGUGCAAGGCAGACAGAGCUUGCUGAUUUCUGCCAACAAUGGAAGGGGGCCCACCCAGCCUUGCUCACGCUGUCUCGCCGGCGAGUCUGGGCAUUUUAACCACACCGUGAACUGUUAGAAGCCGCGAGUUGGCAGAGACGGCCGGAUCCCAAUCUCGGGCUUGAAUCCUCCACAUGAUGAUGAAUGUAAAUAUCUUACGGGUGGAUUUAAGACCCACCUGUUCAAAGAACAGCUCGAUGUUAUUUCCUGGGAAACUGUUUGCUCUCUCGUUCGGAUAAUCCCACAGUUCUCUGUUCUGGGCCCAGAAGAGCAGCGCCACUUCACAAUAGCCUCCACAUUGUCACUCCACACUCUUAAAAUAUGUCUUUUUACAGAAGAGUGCAGAUUCAUUAAAUCAUGAUCAAUUUCUUACUUUUGUAAAAAAAAAAAAGAAAAAGUUGUCGGGGGGACAGUUCCUCCACGAGAAGGAAUUUCUUAGAAAUAUGGCGGCUUCCAGCCUACGUCCCUGAGUUAGCCCGCUUGGCUCCUGUUAGAUUAUUUUGUCAAGAGCACUGAAUUGUGUAUGUUCGAGAUCGCUCGUGUCCAUUUUUAAGAGGAGACAAUGUUAUUUUCAUAUAAACAUGAAAUUCUAUUCUGCGACAUAAAACUGAAUUUUAUCAAA
This is an RNA transcript of Sarcophilus harrisii (Tasmanian devil), 1221 nucleotides long. It is a transcript of the gene named chromosome 2 C10orf143 homolog, with no coding region annotated. Lineage: Eukaryota; Metazoa; Chordata; Mammalia; Dasyuromorphia; Dasyuridae. The transcript has 4 exons. The record is from RefSeq and is a predicted model, not a curated record.